Molecule: ribosomal RNA, 281 nt
Filed under: uncultured Streptococcus sp.
Lineage: Bacteria; Bacillati; Bacillota; Bacilli; Lactobacillales; Streptococcaceae
Description: partial 16S ribosomal RNA
Rfam family: Bacterial small subunit ribosomal RNA
Source: RNAcentral
AACCCCUAUUGUUAGUUGCCAUCAUUCAGUUGGGCACUCUAGCGAGACUGCCGGUAAUAAACCGGAGGAAGGUGGGAUGACGUCAAAUCAUCAUGCCCCUUAUGACCUGGGCUACACACGUGCUACAAUGGGUCGGUACAACGAGUUGCGAGUCGGUGACGGCGAGCUAAUCUCUUAAAGCCAAUCUCAGUUCGGAUUGUAGGCUGCAACUUGCCUACAUGAAGUCGGAAUCGCUAGUAAUCGCGGAUCAGCACGCCGCGGUGAAUACGUUCCCGGGCCUU